UAAAACGUAGGACACAAGCGUUAUCCGGAAUUACUGGGCGUAAAGGGAGUGCAGGCGGUUGCGUAAGUUAGGCGUGAAAGACUUCGGCUAAACCGGGGGAGGUCGUCUGAUACUGCGUAACUAGAGUAUGGUAGAGGCGUGUAGAAUUCCGGGUGUAGUGGUGAAAUGCGUAGAGAUCCGGAGGAAUACCAGUGGCGAAGGCGGCACGCUGGGCCAUUACUGACGCUAAGACUCGAAAGCAUGGGUAGCGAACGGGAUUAGAAACCCCGGUAGUCCAUGCCGUAAACGAUGUACACUGGGUGUUCAGUCGGGGAAGCCUGACGGGGUGCCCAAGCUAACGCGCUAAGUGUACCGCCUGGGGAGUACGGUCGCAAGGCUA
Molecule: ribosomal RNA, 379 nt
Filed under: uncultured bacterium
Lineage: Bacteria
Description: bacterial SSU rRNA
Rfam family: Bacterial small subunit ribosomal RNA
Source: RNAcentral